AAUGUGUCUAUGCUAAAUAUGAUAUCAGAAAGUUGUCUUCUGGAAUCAGUGUGGUUCAGCUGUAAGGCUGAGUAGGUAUUAAAAAAAUACUUUUCUUUUUUUUUUUGUUUUUGUUUUGAGUGGCAAUAAUUUAAACAAUUUUCCUUGAUUCUACUACUUUCAAGGUCAGUUUACUCCAUAUUUAGAGAACCAAACUUUCUAAAGCCUCUCCUAACAGGUUAUCAAUUUGGGAGUUUGUUUGAUUUCCUCUUAAUGGAAAUAACAUCUUUAUUCUAGCCCAGUUUUGCCUGCACUUCACAAUAAUUAGAGCAUAAUAUAAUACAUUUAUAAUUCAUUGGUGUAUAAAAAUCUAUUCUAGGUUAUCACAAGGAGAAAAGCUCUCCUUGCUUGUGCUGCAGAGAUAGGGUUAAAAUGCUCUUUGUGCAGUGCGUUUUGCUGUAACUUGCAGUUUUCACCGAUACUUGGUCGCUGCGGUCUUUCACUCUCUCCUCUGCUGUCUUGUACAACUCUUUCUCUUGCUUCAGCUAGUUUUAUCCCUUCUCUUUUGUCUUUUGUGUUUGAAGGCAAGGUCAGCAAGCCGCCUGUCUGCAAGGGCUCCCAGCAGAGCAGGAGAUGGCUGACGUGAAAGCCACCGCUCCGAGCUGCAUGGGGGUACAGAGGACACCUGAAAGCGUUCCAACAGGAAAAAAGAAAGCUGGAAGGACCCAGAGGUUUAAGCCUUGUCUGCUUCUUCCCCUCUGUACCCCCCAAAUAAGAAAAGUGUUUGUCCUUCACAGAAGAGCAAGAGAUCUCAUCAUAUUUAGUCUCAAAUUGUUCAAAGAAGAGGCCCUUCAAUCUUUCAAAUACAGGCUGUGCAGAGUAUUGCUUUGAGUUGGGCAUGUUCUCUUCUCAGCUUGCAUGGGUAAAUCGAGAGGAGUCGGACUAAGGUCAGUAAGAUAUUUCGAUUUACAUCGGCCUUAAAAAUCUAAAUGCAUCUUAUAAACCUAAUCCAAACAAAAUAUGGUUAAAUAAG
Molecule: long non-coding RNA, 1012 nt
Filed under: Anas platyrhynchos platyrhynchos (common mallard)
Lineage: Eukaryota; Metazoa; Chordata; Aves; Anseriformes; Anatidae
Description: lncRNA (ENSAPLG00000027185.1)
Source: RNAcentral